GAAGAAGUAUGCCAACUUUGGCACCUUUUUUGCCUGUCGUUAGGGCAAACUAACAUAGGCAUGACAAAGUAUCAAAAUGCCGCCAUUUAAAAUAUAUCUAUACGCCUCAGCUGGAUUCCUCCUCCUCCUCCUUCUCCUUCUUCUUCUUCUUUCUGUCAAUGAAAUCUCAGAUGGCAUCUUAAACUAAAUGGGCAAAUGGUUUAAGGAGGGAUGUCAAUAAGCUAGAUUGGGCCUAGGCCUGCAGCAAGCU
This 250-nucleotide long non-coding RNA is filed under the name Elaeis guineensis (African oil palm). Its description in RNAcentral is "long non-coding RNA (EGUI_LNC023758)". Lineage: Eukaryota; Viridiplantae; Streptophyta; Magnoliopsida; Arecales; Arecaceae. The record is from RNAcentral.